ACUCCUACGGGAGGCAGCAGUGGGAAUAUUGGACAAUGGGGCAACCGUGCAUCAGCAAUGCCGCGUGUGUGAAGAAGGCCUGAGGGUUGUAAAGCACUUUCAGUAGGGAGGAGGAUUGACAGGUUAAGAGCUGGUCAAUUGGACGUUACCUACAGAAGAAGCACCGGCUAACUCCGUGCCAGCAGCCGCGGUAAUACGGAGGGCGCAAGCGUUACUCGGAAUCACUGGGCGUAAAGAGCGUGUAGGCGGAUCGAUAAGUCAGGAGUGAAAUCCUAUGGCUCAACCAUAGAACUGCUCUUGAAACUGUCAAUCUAGAGUAUGGGAGAGGUAGAUGGAAUUUCUGGUGUAGGGGU
This 353-nucleotide ribosomal RNA is filed under the name uncultured bacterium. RNAcentral describes it as "bacterial SSU rRNA". It matches the Rfam family "Bacterial small subunit ribosomal RNA", at positions 335 to 682 of the family's 1533-position model. The record is from RNAcentral.